RNAcentral lists this ribosomal RNA (259 nucleotides) under uncultured bacterium. RNAcentral's name for it is "partial 16S ribosomal RNA". It matches the Rfam family "Bacterial small subunit ribosomal RNA", at positions 1241 to 1500 of the family's 1533-position model. The record is from RNAcentral.
AAAGGGAGGCGAAGCCGCGAGGCAGAGCGAACCCCAAAAAGCCGUCCCAGUUCGGAUCGCAGGCUGCAACCCGCCUGCGUGAAGUCGGAAUCGCUAGUAAUCGCGGAUCAGCAUGCCGCGGUGAAUACGUUCCCGGGCCUUGUACACACCGCCCGUCACACCAUGAGAGUCGGGAACACCCGAAGCCCGUAGCCUAACAGCAAUGAGGGCGCGGUCGAAGGUGGGUUCGAUAAUUGGGGUGAAGUCGUAACAAGGUAUC